RNAcentral lists this ribosomal RNA (253 nucleotides) under uncultured bacterium. Its description in RNAcentral is "partial 16S ribosomal RNA". It matches the Rfam family "Bacterial small subunit ribosomal RNA", at positions 524 to 776 of the family's 1533-position model. The record is from RNAcentral.
GACAGAGGUGCCGAGCGUUAGGCGGAAUCACUGGGCUUAAAGCGUGUGUAGGCGGAUGCCUAAGUACCUUGUGAAAUCCCACGGCUUAACCGUGGAACUGCUUGGUAUACUGGGUGUCUUGAGCCACUUAGGGGCGACCGGAACAAACGGUGGAGCGGUGAAAUGCGUAGAGAUCGGCAGGAACACCCAGGGGGAAACCAGUCGACUGGGCAUCUACUGACGCUGAGGUGCGAGAGCGUGGGGAGCGAACCGG